This 499-nucleotide ribosomal RNA is filed under the name Tolypocladium inflatum. Its description in RNAcentral is "SSU rRNA". It matches the Rfam family "Eukaryotic small subunit ribosomal RNA", at positions 52 to 556 of the family's 1831-position model. Lineage: Eukaryota; Fungi; Ascomycota; Sordariomycetes; Hypocreales; Ophiocordycipitaceae. The record is from RNAcentral.
UGCAUGUCUAAGUAUAAGCAAUUAUACGGCGAAACUGCGAAUGGCUCAUUAUAUAAGUUAUCGUUUAUUUGAUAGCACCUUACUACUUGGAUAACCGUGGUAAUUCUAGAGCUAAUACAUGCUAAAAAUCCCGACUUCGGAAGGGAUGUAUUUAUUAGAUUAAAAACCAAUGCCCUCUGGGCUCUCUGGUGAUUCAUGAUAACUUCUCGAAUCGCAUGGCCUUGCGCCGGCGAUGGUUCAUUCAAAUUUCUUCCCUAUCAACUUUCGAUGUUUGGGUAGUGGCCAAACAUGGUUGCAACGGGUAACGGAGGGUUAGGGCUCGACCCCGGAGAAGGAGCCUGAGAAACGGCUACUACAUCCAAGGAAGGCAGCAGGCGCGCAAAUUACCCAAUCCCGACACGGUGAGGUAGUGACAAUAAAUACUGAUACAGGGCUCUUUUGGGUCUAGUAAUUGGAAUGAGUGCGAUUUAAAUCCUUUUACGAGGAACAAUUGGAGGCA